CUUUAGCACAAUGUGUACACAGAGUGAAUGUGGCCCUUUUCCCCCAAUCCUGUAAGAAAUGCACUGGCUCGUGUGUGUCGAGUAAAGCAGUGCUUACCUGAGAGCAGCUUAUUGUAAUAGCAUUAGACACUACGUAUUCUGCUCAUACUGAAGCCCUACCUACAUUACUGCACAGCGAGGGGUGAAGAAGUGUAUACUGUAUGCAGAGAAACUAAGAAUUUGAGGGGGUAAGAGAUUAACAGAGGGAAAGCGGGAUACAAACGUUUUUCAUGCUGGCAUUUCCACAACAGGGAGAGUGUUUUUCAAAGGCAUUUUGAGCAUUUAAAAUUCUGGCCCGGGUUUAAAAUGCAUGUGUGAAAUCUGUCCCUUGAGGUUCGAUACACUUCUGAUUUUCAUUCUUCUCUAAUCAGGGACUGGUUUAGACCUGGGACACCAGAUGAGUGGGAGAAGAGGCACGCUCUGCUCCUUUAUAACCUGCAGAUCAAGAGGCGCAUCUCAUACACCAAAAGGCAAUGGACACGACUCAUGCAGCUAGGAACAGGAGAGAACAGUGUUGUCCAGACUGGGCUGCAGGCUGCGGUGGUGCUGUGUGUGUUGGGAGAGGCAGAGGGGUGACAGGGCCGUGAAGUGCACAGUCCCAGGCGGCCUACUGGCUCCAGUGCUGGAGGGACCUGGGCAGGAUCUGUACCACCUGUGUCCCGCUAGUAACUGGGACCCAGUAGAGAGCUGUUCAGACACAGACAUGUACUAUGUUAGGGCGACCACCUAUUAGGGUGACCAUCUAAAUUAUAUUAUAUUAUAUAAAGAUAUUUAGCAUAUUAGGCCAUUACAGGUUUUGGUCCUGAAUCUUUUUCAAUGGCAAUAAAACAAA
Molecule: long non-coding RNA, 871 nt
Organism: Oncorhynchus tshawytscha (Chinook salmon)
Lineage: Eukaryota; Metazoa; Chordata; Actinopteri; Salmoniformes; Salmonidae
Exons: 3
Source: RefSeq, a predicted model, not a curated record